RNAcentral lists this long non-coding RNA (530 nucleotides) under Phasianus colchicus (ring-necked pheasant). RNAcentral's name for it is "lncRNA (ENSPCLG00000007000.1)". Lineage: Eukaryota; Metazoa; Chordata; Aves; Galliformes; Phasianidae. The record is from RNAcentral.
UACAACAUUUCUGUCCUAUGGUAACAGUAUUUCAAAGCACUUCAAUUCUUGUCGUUUUCAGAAUAACCAUUUGAAGUGAAUUGUUGGCCUUGGACAAACUCCUCGAGGAGAGAGUGACAUCUGUGUCACAAAAGAAGCCAUUGUUAUGGGCACAGCUAAUGGUAGUGCGUGGCGUAGACAAACAUUAAUGGGCUCAUAAAUCUGUCAAAACAAGAACUGAAGAAAUGACACGUAUGAGUUAAUAUUCACCUUUUUGGAGGAGAUGUCUUUUCUGAGUACAGGAGGAGGAUUUAGGGCUGAAUGCUAACACUCAGAAGUUUAGCAAGGACAGCUGUAUCUUUUAACCCUGAGGACUGCUCUGUGUCCCUGGAUCUAAAGCCUGCAAAUCAGCUGAAAGUGUGCAGUGACUGGGAAAUUCAUAGCUUGCAAGCUUCAAUUGCUGGAACAUACUGAGUCAUCAAAUGCAUAUUCCUUUGUAGAUGGAUCUUCUUGUGAAAUACAGAAUAUCUUGAAUGAACAAAGAACUUGGA